UACAGAGGGUGCAAGCGUUGUUCGGAAUUACUGGGCGUAAAGCGCGCGCAGGCGGAUCCUGUAAGUCGGAAGUGAAAUCUCACUGCUCAACGGUGAGACUGCUACUGAUACUGCGGAUCUGGAGACCGGUAGAGGCUGGUAGAAUUGCAGGUGUAGCGGUGGAAUGCGCAGAUAUCAGGAGGAACACCGAUGGCGAAGGCAAUCCCCUGGGCCUGCACUGACGCUCAUGCACGAAAGCGUGGGGAGCAAACAGG
RNAcentral lists this ribosomal RNA (254 nucleotides) under uncultured bacterium. RNAcentral's name for it is "partial 16S ribosomal RNA". It matches the Rfam family "Bacterial small subunit ribosomal RNA", at positions 524 to 776 of the family's 1533-position model. The record is from RNAcentral.